RNAcentral lists this ribosomal RNA (492 nucleotides) under uncultured bacterium. RNAcentral's name for it is "partial 16S ribosomal RNA". It matches the Rfam family "Bacterial small subunit ribosomal RNA", at positions 28 to 507 of the family's 1533-position model. The record is from RNAcentral.
GAUGAACGCUAGCUACAGGCUUAACACAUGCAAGUCGAGGGGAAACGGCAUUGUGUGCUUGCACUCUUUGGACGUCGACCGGCGCACGGGUGAGUAACGCGUAUCCAACCUUCCCAUUACUGUUUGAUAACCUGCCGAAAGGCAGACUAAUACCGCAUAGUCUUCGAUGACGGCAUCAGAUUUUAAGUAAAGAUUUAUCGGUAAUGGAUGGGGAUGCGUCUGAUUAGCUGGUUGGCGGGGUAACGGCCGACCAAGGCGACGAUCAGUAGGGGUUCUGAGAGGAAGGUCCCCCACAUUGGAACUGAGAAACGGGCCAAACUCCUACGGGAGGCAGUAGUGAGGAAUAUUGGUGAAUGGAAGGAAGUAUGAACCAGCCAAGUAGCGUGCAGGAUGACGGCCCUAUGGGUUGUAAACUGCUUUUGUAUGGGGAUAAAGUCAGGGAAGGGUCCCUAUUUGCAGGUAACAUAUGAAUAAGGACCGGCUAAUUACGUG